RNAcentral lists this ribosomal RNA (813 nucleotides) under uncultured bacterium. Its description in RNAcentral is "bacterial SSU rRNA". It matches the Rfam family "Bacterial small subunit ribosomal RNA", at positions 51 to 878 of the family's 1533-position model. The record is from RNAcentral.
ACACAUGCAAGUCGAACGAGAGAAGAGAAGCUUGCUUUUCUGAUCUAGUGGCGGACGGGUGAGUAACACGUGAGCAAUCUGCCUUUCAGAGGGGGAUACCGAUUGGAAACGAUCGUUAAUACCGCAUAACAUAAUUGAACCGCAUGAUUUGAUUAUCAAAGAUUUAUCGCUGAAAGAUGAGCUCGCGUCUGAUUAGCUAGUUGGUAAGGUAACGGCUUACCAAGGCGACGAUCAGUAGCCGGACUGAGAGGUUGAUCGGCCACAUUGGGACUGAGACACGGCCCAGACUCCUACGGGAGGCAGCAGUGGGGAAUAUUGCACAAUGGAGGAAACUCUGAUGCAGCGAUGCCGCGUGAGGGAAGAAGGUUUUAGGAUUGUAAACCUCUGUCUUCAGGGACGAAAAAUGACGGUACCUGAGGAGGAAGCUCCGGCUAACUACGUGCCAGCAGCCGCGGUAAUACGUAGGGAGCGAGCGUUGUCCGGAAUUACUGGGUGUAAAGGGAGCGUAGGCGGGAUCGCAAGUCAGAUGUGAAAACUAUGGGCUUAACCCAUAAACUGCAUUUGAAACUGUGGUUCUUGAGUGAAGUAGAGGUAAGCGGAAUUCCUAGUGUAGCGGUGAAAUGCGUAGAUAUUAGGAGGAACAUCAGUGGCGAAGGCGGCUUACUGGGCUUUAACUGACGCUGAGGCUCGAAAGCGUGGGGAGCAAACAGGAUUAGAUACCCUGGUAGUCCACGCCGUAAACGAUGAUUACUAGGUGUGGGGGGACUGACCCCUUCCGUGCCGCAGCAAACGCAAUAAGUAAUCCACCUGGGG